RNAcentral lists this ribosomal RNA (253 nucleotides) under uncultured bacterium. RNAcentral's name for it is "partial 16S ribosomal RNA". It matches the Rfam family "Bacterial small subunit ribosomal RNA", at positions 524 to 776 of the family's 1533-position model. The record is from RNAcentral.
UACGUAGGGUGCGAGCGUUAAUCGGAAUUACUGGGCGUAAAGCGUGCGCAGGCGGGCUUUUAAGCCAGACGUGAAAUCCCCGGGCUUAACCUGGGAAUUGCGUUUGGGACUGGAAGUCUGGAGUGCGGCAGAGGAGACUGGAAUUCCUGGUGUAGCAGUGAAAUGCGUAGAUAUCAGGAGGAACACCGAUGGCGAAGGCAGGUCUCUGGGCUGACACUGACGCUCAUGCACGAAAGCGUGGGGAGCAAACAGG